Molecule: unclassified non-coding RNA, 507 nt
Filed under: uncultured Entrophospora
Lineage: Eukaryota; Fungi; Glomeromycota; Glomeromycetes; Entrophosporales; Entrophosporaceae
Description: SSU rRNA
Rfam family: Eukaryotic small subunit ribosomal RNA
Source: RNAcentral
CCAAUAGCGUAUAUUAAAGUUGUUGCAGUUAAAAAGCUCGUAGUUGAAUUUCGGGAUUGACACAUCGGUCGUGCCUUAAGGGGUGUGAACUGGUGUAGUCAAUUUCUCACCUUCUGGAGAACCGUGAUGUCCUUAAUUGGGUGCCGCGAGGAACCAGGACCUUUACUUUGAAAAAAUUAGAGUGUUUAAAGCAGGCAUUUUUGCUUGAAUACAUUAGCAUGGAAUAAUAAAAUAGGACGGCAUGAUUCUAUUUUGUUGGUUUCUAGGAUCACCGUAAUGAUUAAUAGGGAUAGUUGGGGGCAUUAGUAUUCAAUUGUCAGAGGUGAAAUUCUUGGAUUUAUUGAAGACUAACUACUGCGAAAGCAUUUGCCAAGGAUGUUUUCAUUAAUCAAGAACGAAAGUUAGGGGAUCGAAGACGAUCAGAUACCGUCGUAGUCUUAACCAUAAACUAUGCCGACUAGGAAUCAGACGAUGUUAAUUUUUUAAUGACUCGUUUGGCACCUUACG